Molecule: ribosomal RNA, 548 nt
Filed under: Colletotrichum gloeosporioides
Lineage: Eukaryota; Fungi; Ascomycota; Sordariomycetes; Glomerellales; Glomerellaceae
Description: eukaryotic LSU rRNA
Rfam family: 5.8S ribosomal RNA (bases 176-329)
Source: RNAcentral
GGGGGCUCUGAGUUCGCUCUACACCCUUUGUGACAUACCUAUAACUGUUGCUUCGGCGGGCAGGGUCUCCGUGACCCUCCCGGCCUCCCGCCCCCGGGCGGGUCGGCGCCCGCCGGAGGAUAACCAAACUCUGAUUUAACGACGUUUCUUCUGAGUGGUACAAGCAAAUAAUCAAAACUUUUAACAACGGAUCUCUUGGUUCUGGCAUCGAUGAAGAACGCAGCGAAAUGCGAUAAGUAAUGUGAAUUGCAGAAUUCAGUGAAUCAUCGAAUCUUUGAACGCACAUUGCGCCCGCCAGCAUUCUGGCGGGCAUGCCUGUUCGAGCGUCAUUUCAACCCUCAAGCUCUGCUUGGUGUUGGGGCCCUACAGCUGAUGUAGGCCCUCAAAGGUAGUGGCGGACCCUCCCGGAGCCUCCUUUGCGUAGUAACUUUACGUCUCGCACUGGGAUCCGGAGGGACUCUUGCCGUAAAACCCCCAAUUUUCCAAAGGUUGACCUCGGAUCAGGUAGGAAUACCCGCUGAACUUAAGCAUAUCAAUAAGCGGAGGAA